CGGGCUGUGGCGCAGUUGGUAGCGCGCGUCGUUCGGGACGACGAGGCCGUGGGUUCGAGUCCCGCCAGCCCGACCA
RNAcentral lists this transfer RNA (76 nucleotides) under bacterium CG10_46_32. RNAcentral's name for it is "tRNA-Pro". It matches the Rfam family "tRNA". Rfam says of the family: Transfer RNA (tRNA) molecules are approximately 80 nucleotides in length. Their secondary structure includes four short double-helical elements and three loops (D, anti-codon, and T loops). Further hydrogen bonds mediate the characteristic L-shaped molecular structure. tRNAs have two regions of fundamental functional importance: the anti-codon, which is responsible for specific mRNA codon recognition, and the 3' end, to which the tRNAs corresponding amino acid is attached (by aminoacyl-tRNA synthetases). tRNAs cope with the degeneracy of the genetic code in two manners: having more than one tRNA (with a specific anti-codon) for a particular amino acid; and 'wobble' base-pairing, i.e. permitting non-standard base-pairing at the 3rd anti-codon position. RNAcentral also lists the same sequence under 2 other names. The record is from RNAcentral.